UGGGCUGGGGCUCAGUGGCAGAGCGCUUGUCUGGCAUGUAUGAGGCACUGGGUUCAAUUCUCAGCGCCACAU
Molecule: transfer RNA, 72 nt
Filed under: Ictidomys tridecemlineatus (thirteen-lined ground squirrel)
Lineage: Eukaryota; Metazoa; Chordata; Mammalia; Rodentia; Sciuridae
Description: Spermophilus tridecemlineatus (thirteen-lined ground squirrel) tRNA
Rfam family: tRNA
About the family: Transfer RNA (tRNA) molecules are approximately 80 nucleotides in length. Their secondary structure includes four short double-helical elements and three loops (D, anti-codon, and T loops). Further hydrogen bonds mediate the characteristic L-shaped molecular structure. tRNAs have two regions of fundamental functional importance: the anti-codon, which is responsible for specific mRNA codon recognition, and the 3' end, to which the tRNAs corresponding amino acid is attached (by aminoacyl-tRNA synthetases). tRNAs cope with the degeneracy of the genetic code in two manners: having more than one tRNA (with a specific anti-codon) for a particular amino acid; and 'wobble' base-pairing, i.e. permitting non-standard base-pairing at the 3rd anti-codon position.
Source: Rfam by way of RNAcentral